This is a non-coding RNA of Paramuricea clavata, 436 nucleotides long. The record is from the annotation of a GenBank genome assembly. Lineage: Eukaryota; Metazoa; Cnidaria; Anthozoa; Malacalcyonacea; Plexauridae.
CCUCGCCUUCGCCUCGGACGUGAUCAAAUUGUGUGGACUUGAAAUCUAGUCCAGUCCUCAUAGUUGGAUUUGAAAUAUUACUUAAUAGCACAACGAGCCUUUCCAAAUAUUUUUAAGUAAUCUAUCGUUGGCUUCUUUUCGACUCUGGUAUAUGUCAUCAAAAGUUUCUAUCACAAAUUCCAAAUAUUUUUCCUGUUCAGAUUUUUCAGUUCAUCUCGAGCUUUGUUCGACAAUAAAAUUAUUUAAAUUCGAUUCACCUCCAGGCUCCACGAUUACGUUCUUUGUUCUUCGCUUGAUUUUCUGAUAAAUUAUCUUUCCAAUUCCUCUGACUUUUCCAUAAAACGCGUCGUCAUACGAAGCUUGUCUCUUCUUUCGGCAUGCUUGGAAUUUUUUUAGGUUUCUCGAUGGUUUUUUCGACCAACACCAUGACUCAAUU